UACAGAGGGUGCAAGCGUUGUUCGGAUUUAUUGGGCGUAAAGAGCGUGUAGGCGGCCAAACAGGUCAGCUGUGAAAACUCGAGGCUCAACCUCGAGACGUCGGUUGAAACCGUUUGGCUAGAGUCCGGAAGAGGAGAGUGGAAUUCCCGGUGUAGCGGUGAAAUGCGCAGAUAUCGGGAAGAACACCCGUGGCGAAGGCGGCUCUCUGGGACGGUACUGACGCUGAGACGCGAAAGCGUGGGGAGCAAACAGG
This 253-nucleotide ribosomal RNA is filed under the name uncultured bacterium. Its description in RNAcentral is "partial 16S ribosomal RNA". It matches the Rfam family "Bacterial small subunit ribosomal RNA", at positions 524 to 776 of the family's 1533-position model. The record is from RNAcentral.